GUUGCCUACUCUCAGGCGUAACGGAAAUCUUUUGGCAUCAUCGGCAUCAACUUUUUUGUGAUUUCUGUUAAUUAAAUGUUAUUUAUUUGUAUAUUUUAAUUGAAUUUCGUGAUCUAAAUGAAUAAUUGUUAAUAUUUUUAUAGAAGUUUAUUUAAAUUGAGUAAUUUAAAAAGUGUUUUCAGUUUUAAAUGUGAUUAUUGAAAAAAAAAAUGUUGUGCACGUGGAAUUAUCGGAAUCUGAUUUUGCAAUUUUUCUUUCAUUAUUUAGUCUUAUCGUUUGUUUUUGUUGCAUAAAACUUGUUUCUAUCAUGAAUUGUUUAGAUGACAGUGUAAAAAAAGAAAUAUUAAUUCUUAAUGACGAUAAUAUUUCAGUUAUCUAACCUAUUAAAUACAUAUUUAUUCUCAACGAGUGUAUUAGUGCGCGUAUAUAAAUAAAUUUUUGGUUAUUUAACAUGUAAGCAAAAAAUUUAUAGAUAUCGAGUAUUUUUAUAAACUAUACAAAUAAUUUAUCUUUCUUUUUCAAAAAUUGGUUUUCAACGAUGUGAUGAUCAACGAUAAGGAAGCAAAAAUAAUGAAAAGUGGAAAUAUUUUGGAAAUAUCAAUGCUGCAAAUAUGACCUGGGCCUCGAUUUCCAUGUGACAAUUUUCCAUUGCUUUGCACAAGGUUGAACUCUGUCGACGAAGUUGGAUGAGCAAUAGGACCAAUUCCUCAUAAACAGUGCGGAUUUUUUUUAAAUUCAUUAAAUUUUUUGCAAUUUUACAUUAUACGGGAGUGUUCGAACUUAGUGAAAGUGACGGUCGUUUAAUAUAUAUAAUAUUUACUUUUUUCUUAUGCUCGCUGUGCAUGUCGUGUCGGAUUUAAAAAUUAUUAGCUUCGGGAGUGUUAAUUCUACAAUUUUUACAAAAUUCCGAAUAAAAUUUUCUUAGGAUGUUUAAAAUUCAUUUUCGUUGUUUGUCUUUCGUUACAUACAAGACAACUCGUAACGCGCGCGUCCGAAUUACAAUUUAAAAUCGCGUUCGUCUUUUUUCGCGAAUAUUCAAAGUUUAUUUUAA
Long non-coding RNA from Leptopilina boulardi, 1051 nucleotides. RefSeq lists it as uncharacterized. NCBI's taxonomy places the organism in Eukaryota, Metazoa, Arthropoda, Insecta, Hymenoptera, Figitidae. The transcript has 4 exons. The record is from RefSeq and is a predicted model, not a curated record.